AUGGCGGAGAAGGGCGGGAGGAAGAGCGUGCCGGCGCUCGGAUGGUGGCUAAUGCUGGUCGGCUCCCUCCGCCUCGCCUCCGUGUGGUUCGGCUUCUUCAACAUCUGGGCGCUCCGCGUCGCCGUCUUCUCCCAGACUGAGAUGACUGAAAUACACGGUCGUACUUUUGGGGUCUGGACACUCCUAACCUGUACACUGUGUUUUCUGUGUGCAUUCAACCUAGAAAACAAGCCUCUGUAUAUAGCCACCUUCCUGUCAUUCAUCUAUGCUCUUGGUCACUUUCUCACGGAGUACUUGAUAUAUCAUACCAUGGCUGCAGCAAAUCUUUGCACUGUUGGCUUCUUUGCAGGGACAUCAAUUGUAUGGAUGCUGCUUCAGUGGAAUUCUCAUGGGGAUUCGCGUGGUUCCCAUGCUGUCAAGCAGUCGUGA
Molecule: ribosomal RNA, 429 nt
Filed under: Triticum aestivum (bread wheat)
Lineage: Eukaryota; Viridiplantae; Streptophyta; Magnoliopsida; Poales; Poaceae
Description: partial small subunit ribosomal RNA
Source: RNAcentral